AAUUUAAAAAAUUUCAGUUAGAAUUUUCUAACCAAUCUGCGAAUUUUUCCAAACGUUUUUCCUCGUCCUCUUCAUCAUCUAAUGUAUGCUUUCCACUUUUCUGGAACCGAACCUUUCCAUCGUAAAUUGAAGCUUCCACUACCCGGCCAUCAAAAUAUCGGCCUUGCAUUAACCUUACGCAAGCUUCAGCUUCUUCAUUGUUUGAAAACCGUACAGUUACUACUCCAUCAGGCUCCUUGUCGUACAAAACCACAUUAGUAACUCGUCCACAUUUCUCAGCUUCCUCAGUGAUAUCGUCUUUUAAGUCAAUUAAAAGUUCAGGUGUUUUAUCGAGUUCUUCCAGCGUAAAAAUAUGCUUUAAAACUACUAUUUUAUUAAAUCGUUUUUUUCUUUUAUCAUCAACCUCUUCGUCAACAUCAUCCCAGGAUGAAAUUUGCCUAAAACCUGUUAGCUCUAUAAAUUAAAAGAUAAAACCGAGAAAGAAAAAAGUUGGUAUGCAACAAUAAAUAAAAGAGAAAUUUUUUAUGAGUAUUCAUUACAUAACAUACUGCAUUUGUUGUUGUCGGAGACGAAGUGCCUUUUUUUUUAAGGCACCACCUACGUCUUUGUUCACCGUUUUCUCCUUUUUGUAAUCAAUAUUAGCUUUCUGGACACGCAUCUUUUGCCCAGAUCCAUAACGAAAUUCAGUGUCAUCAAAUAAUUGCUCUGCAAGCUCAACACUUUCGCUGCGGAAAAAUACAAUUAAAGCAUCACCUUUAGGAGUUCCAUCCUCUGUCCGGUAGAUUUUGAUUCUCGGCGUACCAUUGUCAAUAUUCUUAGCAAUAACACCGCAUUUCUUGAAUACUUCUUCAAUUUCGUCAACCGUGACAUCCAGUGGUAGUCCUUGAAUGUAAACCGCUUUGUUUAUUACUGGGGCGGGCGAGGCUUCUGAAUUUUCGGACUUUGACUUUUUAUUUCGAGAACCUGAAGGAUACCCUUCAGCCGAUGUCGAUUCGUACAAUCGUUUGGUAUGGCGGUCUUCGCCGUUGCUAGAUUCCUUUCCUUCGGUAGCCUCCGCCGUAACAUCACUGACUUCUGCACCAGUUGAGCCGGCCUUAUUCAUUUUUAAGCUAUUAGGAUCCUUGUUUAGUUAGGGGUCAUGUUUGUCUCAAUGGAAUGGUAAAGCAAAAUUGUUCAUCGUACAUAAUCUUUCCAAGUUUGUUCUUCAUCAAUAUAUAUUAAUUCGUUUCCUUCUGAUCCUAAACAUCUCCAACGAUGUAUUCUUUCAUCCCAAAAAGGCUGGCUGGACAUAAUCUACGAGCUCUAAAACGAUUAUAACUUGGUAAAGUUCAAAAUGACCUCGAUUGUUUUCACAUAACGAUUUCUAACAACGCCACAAUAUAUAUGUAGAGUAAUGUCACUGCUUUGUAUAAUAUGUAUGGAACAAAAUACAGCUUCUUUAGA
Molecule: non-coding RNA, 1443 nt
Organism: Schizosaccharomyces pombe (fission yeast)
Lineage: Eukaryota; Fungi; Ascomycota; Schizosaccharomycetes; Schizosaccharomycetales; Schizosaccharomycetaceae
Source: the annotation of a GenBank genome assembly